Molecule: ribosomal RNA, 440 nt
Filed under: uncultured bacterium
Lineage: Bacteria
Description: partial 16S ribosomal RNA
Rfam family: Bacterial small subunit ribosomal RNA
Source: RNAcentral
CCUACGGGUGGCAGCAGUAGGGAAUAUUGCUCAAUGGGGGAAACCCUGAAGCAGCAACGCCGCGUGGAGGAUGAAGGUUUUAGGAUUGUAAACUCCUUUUGUGAGAGAAGAUAAUGACGGUAUCUCAAGAAUAAGCACCGGCUAACUCCGUGCCAGCAGCCGCGGGACUACGGCGGGUGCAAGCGUUACUCGGAAUCAAUGGGCGUAAAGAGUGCGCAGGCGGGCUUGUUAGUCAGAUGUGAAAUCCUGUAGCUUAACUACAGAACUGGAUUUGAAACUGUGAGUCUAGAGUGGGGGAGAGGUAGGUGGAAUUCGUGGUGUAGGGGUAAAAUGCGUAGAUAUCAAGAGGAAUACUCAUUGCGAAGGCGACCUACUGGAACAUUACUGACGCUCAUGCACGAAAGCGUGGGGAGCAAACAGGAUUAGACACCCGAGUAGUC